Molecule: ribosomal RNA, 253 nt
Filed under: uncultured bacterium
Lineage: Bacteria
Description: partial 16S ribosomal RNA
Rfam family: Bacterial small subunit ribosomal RNA
Source: RNAcentral
UACGUAGGUGACAAGCGUUGUCCGGAUUUACUGGGCGUAAAGAGCGCGCAGGCGGUCGAUCAAGUCGAGUGUGAAAGCCCCCGGCUCAACUGGGGAGGGUCAUUCGAUACUGAUCGACUCGAAGGCAGGAGAGGGUAGUGGAAUUCCCGGUGUAGUGGUGAAAUGCGUAGAUAUCGGGAGGAACACCGGUGGCGAAGGCGGCUACCUGGACCGGUACUGACGCUGAGGCGCGAAAGCUAGGGUAGCAAACAGG